This 432-nucleotide ribosomal RNA is filed under the name uncultured bacterium. RNAcentral describes it as "bacterial SSU rRNA". It matches the Rfam family "Bacterial small subunit ribosomal RNA", at positions 73 to 543 of the family's 1533-position model. The record is from RNAcentral.
GGUCCUUUCGGGGACUUAGUGGCGGACGGGUGAGUAACGCGUGAGAAUCUGCCCUUAGGACGGGGACAACAGUUGGAAACGACUGCUAAUACCGGAUGAGCCGAGAGGUAAAAGAUUUAUCGCCUAAGGAUGAGCUCGCGUCAGAUUAGCUAGUUGGUAGUGUAAAGGACUACCAAGGCGACGAUCUGUAGCUGGUCUGAGAGGAUGACCAGCCACACUGGAACUGAGAGACGGUCCAGACUCCUACGGGAGGCAGCAGUGGGGAAUUUUCCGCAAUGGGCGCAAGCCUGACGGAGCAAGACCGCGUGAGGGAAGAAGGUCUGUGGAUUGUAAACCUCUUUUGACAGGGAAGAAGUUCUGACGGUACCUGUCGAAUCAGCCUCGGCUAACUCCGUGCCAGCAGCCGCGGUAAUACGGAGGAGGCAAGCGUUA